Molecule: long non-coding RNA, 362 nt
Organism: Eucalyptus grandis
Lineage: Eukaryota; Viridiplantae; Streptophyta; Magnoliopsida; Myrtales; Myrtaceae
Exons: 3
Source: RefSeq, a predicted model, not a curated record
CUCGCCGAGAGAGAGAGAGGAGCCUUGGCCACGCGUGAACCCCAGUCCGACGAGCUCUUCCGGUCGAAGUCCUCAGGCUGAACCGGAAGUUUUCAUCACAUCUAAAUCUCAGCCAAGCCAGCAGGGUGAUUUGGGAGAUUUAUCAAGCAAACGGGCACUCGCAUUAUUUGUCUCUGGAAUGAGAUUAAAAAUGGAGGCACGAUGGUAAAUUGCCGUGUCUGUGCAGACCCAACGAAGCUCUGAGAAUGGACCGAGAUAAAGAUUCGCUAUUUAGCAAUGGACUGUAUCUGGCAAACUUGGCUGUGUCAUCAAAUCUUCUUCAGGAUUCAUGGGAUGCCAUACCCAAACUUGAGCAGCGAAUC